GACGAACGCUGGCGGCGUGCUUAACACAUGCAAGUCGAACGGUAAGGCCCUUCGGGGUACACGAGUGGCGAACGGGUGAGUAACACGUGGGCGAUCUGCCCUGCACUUCGGGAUAAGCCUGGGAAACUGGGUCUAAUACCGGAUAGGACCACUGCCUGGCAGGGUGGAGGUGGAAAGCUUUAAGGGUGUGGGAUGGGCCCGCGGUCUAUCAGCUUGUUGGUGGGGUGAUGGCCUACCAAGGCGACGACGGGUAGCCGGCCUGAGAGGGUGACCGGCCACACUGGGACUGAGAUACGGCCCAGACUCCUACGGGAGGCAGCAGUGGGGAAUAUUGCACAAUGGGCGCAAGCCUGAUGCAGCGACGCCGCGUGAGGGAUGACGGCCUUCGGGUUGUAAACCUCUUUCAGCACCGACGAAGCGCAAGUGACGGUAGGUGCAGAAGAAGGACCGGCCAACUACGUGCCAGCAGCCGCCGCCG
This 478-nucleotide ribosomal RNA is filed under the name uncultured bacterium. RNAcentral's name for it is "partial 16S ribosomal RNA". It matches the Rfam family "Bacterial small subunit ribosomal RNA", at positions 28 to 523 of the family's 1533-position model. The record is from RNAcentral.